Podarcis lilfordi (Lilford's wall lizard) is the source of this 74-nucleotide non-coding RNA. The record is from the annotation of a GenBank genome assembly. Lineage: Eukaryota; Metazoa; Chordata; Lepidosauria; Squamata; Lacertidae.
AGCUGGGAUAGCUCAAAUGGUAGACCAUGAGACUUUUAAUCUCAGGGUCGUGGGUUUGAGCCCCACCUCGGGUG